GCUAACAGAAGUAUUAGAGCGUUUGUAAUUAGCCACAUUUUAUUUAUUGUUUUCUUGUCAAACUCAGAUGCAAACUUGGGUAUUUUCUCCUAACUGACCACAGAGAUGGAUGAUGUAUAUGAGGAGGAUGAAGCUAUGAGUUUCAAGACCUCCUCUCUGUGUUAUUGUGCUGCUGGCAAAGGAUGUGGAACCAACUCCACAUCUGCACUUCCACCUGAACAUCUGGUCGGGAGAGAGCCCUGGAACGAGCCCAGACGUGUGUCCGGAGAAUACAUCCUCUGACCGUUUCCUGCUGCUCCUACCAUCUCCUCAACUGAAGGUGUUUGGCUUAAACUGACCUGGUAAGCCACCAGCUCCACCGCCUACUCCUGGGCCUGUUCCUGCAGCACCUCCUGCUCCUCCUGCUGCACUACCUGGACAGAUAAUUUUACCUGGUCUAUA
Acanthopagrus latus (yellowfin seabream) is the source of this 441-nucleotide long non-coding RNA. RefSeq lists it as uncharacterized. The transcript is spliced from 4 exons. Lineage: Eukaryota; Metazoa; Chordata; Actinopteri; Spariformes; Sparidae. The record is from RefSeq and is a predicted model, not a curated record.